AGCCAUGCAUGUCUAAGCACAUGCCUUAAUACGGUGAAGCCGCGAAUAGCUCAUUACAACAGCCAUCGUUUACUAGAAAAUCGUUAUCCUACUCGGAUAACUGUGGCAAUUCUAGAGCUAAUACGUGCAAAAAAGCUCGUGCCGAAAGGAAUGAGCGCAUUUAUUAGAAUAAAAACCAAUCGGGUGGUAAAAAGCCCGCGUUUUGGUGAAUCUGAAUAACUUUGCCGAUCGCACGGUCUUAGUACCGGCGACGUAUCUUUCAAGUGUCUGCCUUAUCAACUGUCGAUGGUAGGUUAUACGCCUACCAUGGUAGUAACGGGUAACGGAGAAUAAGGGUUCGACUCCGGAGAGGGAGCCUGAGAAACGGCUACCACAUCCAAGGAAGGCAGCAGGCGCGCAAAUUACCCACUUCCAGAACGGAGAGGUAGUGACGAAAAAUAACGAGACAGUCCUCUUCGAGGUCUGUCAUCGGAAUGGGUACAAUUUAAAUCCUUUAACGAGGAUCUAUUGGAGGGCAAGUCUGGUGCCAGCAGCCGCGGUAAUUCCAGCUCCAAUAGCGUAUAUUAAAGUUGUUGCGGUUAAAACGCUCGUAGUUGGAUCUGCGGCCUGGGAGAACGGUCCCCCGAAAGGGUGGUAACUGUUACUCUUAGCCUAAAUUUUUAGUCCGCUCUAUAGUGCCUUUAAUCGGGUGCUUAGAGUGACUAGAACGUUUACUUUGAAAAAAUUAGAGUGCUUAAAGCAGGCGAAAUCGCCUGAAUAAGGUGCAUGGAAUAAUGGAAUAGGACCUCGGUUCUAUUUUGUUGGUUUUCGGAGCCUGAGGUAAUGAU
RNAcentral lists this ribosomal RNA (827 nucleotides) under Longidorus caespiticola. Its description in RNAcentral is "SSU rRNA". It matches the Rfam family "Eukaryotic small subunit ribosomal RNA", at positions 47 to 869 of the family's 1831-position model. Lineage: Eukaryota; Metazoa; Nematoda; Enoplea; Dorylaimida; Longidoridae. The record is from RNAcentral.